CGUUAAUCAUUUGAGAAAAUCUAUGUUAAAGCUAAUUACUGCCAUUACAAAACAACGUGCUGCAUAUGGCUGAUUAAAAAUGGAAAGUGGCUGCUGUCCUGCUGCUGUGUUGAGUCCUGCCCUGCACUUCAGAAAUGGAGAAGGAAAUUCUCAUGUAUCUCAGUCUGUGACAUACGGGCUUUGCUCUGCUGGGAAAUCCCUCCCAUCACACUGCAAUGUGGUAUGGGGCAGGCAGCUGUGGGCUGCACUGUCCGUCACUGGCUCUGUGGGAGCUGAGUUUGUUUCCCUAGAUACGUUUUGGCUGGUCACUAGUUUAGGUAACAGCAAGUUCCCUUUCCAGCACAUAGGAAAAGCUCUUGAGUCAUCACGCCGUGGCACUGAGCCCACAGAACUCUGUCCCCCAUAGGGACAGGCUUUGAAUUUGAGCUUGUAUCUUAUUAACUGUUGGUGUUGCUGCCAGGGCUGUGACCUCACUUGCACAAGGCUCAUUUGCCCAGGAAUGCCUUGUCAUAUGUGCCCUCAGAGCCCUCCUGCUCGAGCAGCACCUCAUCCUGCUGCACACCAGGAGCCAAGGGGAUGCAUGUCCCCCAUACCAGGGAUGCUGGAAAUGUCCCUUUCUGUUCCUCUGCUGGCCUCCUUUCCUCUUGCUGACAUCAGGGCCAUGCUGCAAUUACAACGCCUUCCCCAAGUGCACUUCUUGCUGGGAAAAAGUUGUCUUGUUCUUUUUCCUUGAUAGCCCACAAUGGAAGAAAACUCACAUGCAAUUAAUGGAGGAGGAUUAUUUGGCUUGAAGCUGGCACCUGCUGCUGUACAAAAGCAUUUACAGCAUGAGCCUUUUUCACAAUGGGCAGUGACUGCCAAAACCAAGAGCUCUGCGAACCUGUGAGAUGCUGGAGAAAUAAGGGAGAGAAUGGACCACAGGCAUUGCUCUUCCUGAGAAGCAUCUCCUAUCACUGCUGUUGGAGACCACAAUAGGCUGCAUGAACCAUGGCUCUGACCCAGUUGGGUGUAAUUUACGUUCUUAUUUUCUUGUAUUCUUGACAGCUGAGUGUGUGCACAGAGCUCAGGCACUGAUGUAGAUCCUGUCCUUUAAGUUAACGAUAAAGUGCAAGUCCUGAUUGGCUGUGUUUAUCUGCUCUCUCCAGAGUUAAGGACUUGUUGCCUUCCCCCACUUUUUGUUCAGCCCUUGUGAACCUCCUAUCUUCUUGUAAGUCCCAUUCUCAAUCUCUUAUAUGCAGAGUGAAAGGAAUCUAUAAUGUAGUAUGACUGUUUCUAAUGCUGUUGCGGUAGUAGUUAUCAGCACUAUGCAGGUACUUCAUACUGGUUGAACUACCAGUAUUCUACCCCAAGUUUUGAGCUACAAAGCAUAAAACAUUAUGCAGUAUGCAUCUACUUUAAUAGAGAUUAAAACAAAGGGGAGGCCUAGAAUCAGAUUUUGCUUGUGGCUUCUGACCUGAGGUAUUUUCAGAGCUACAGGAGCAAGGUAAGCAUCUUUUUAUGCCAGGGACAUUGAAGAUAUUUUCUCAGAAAGAUGUACUUAGAGGUACAUUUUACCCAAAUCAAGUAGCCUCCAAAGGUGAUCUUAACUAAUUUGCAGCCUGUUUACUACUUCUAAUCUUUAUGCUUCCAUUAUAUUAUGCAGUGGUUCUCAUUUCCUGACCUCCCUCCACCCAUCUUCACACCUCUGGAUUAUUGAGUAAGAACAGUUCUGUUCUCCAGUGCCAGGCACAGCACAGGAAUAGCCUUUGGAAAUUACCCAGCUUGUUGGGCUGGUGUUCCUGGGUGGCAGAGUCAGAAGCAAGUUAAGGAAAAAGAAAACUUCGCAGAGAUGUGGCUCAGUAACACCUGAGGUGACUAAUUUCAGCACAAGUCAAGCUCCAUACCAUCAUGAUGAGGAAAGUGGUGCUCCAACAACUGAGCUUAUCUGUGAACAGAGAGGCGCAGAAACAUAGUUCUUGAAGACAGAAGUUAUAAUAUAUCUAGGGCUAAUUAGAGGAGUACUUUAAUUUCUUGAACCUGUGCUGAAGAGUGAACUCUUUCCCUUGCAUUUCAAAUUAUGUGAGAAAUAUCUGAAAGUUGACAAGAACAGCUCACUGGGUAUGACCACAGCAAUGCUGAAGGAGGAUGAGACUGUAUCAGGUGUUAGACAGCUCACAUGGAAGAGAAUAGCAACUAUGAAAGUGCAAGUGAGGUACAGAGAGCAGAAAACAGGAUGAGUCUCCAAGGACUGCUACUACCACAACAGCAAGGUUCUGAACGAACACCUUGAAAUUGGUUAUCUCAUGAAUACCUCACUGCCUUUUUACCUGUGUGUUGAUUUCCCAGAGAUUAUUGUUGGGAUCACUUUGAUAUUAAAAAUGAAAGCCUUGCAGCAUCAUGGCAACAUAUGUUAUCUGUGCCCUAAUAUUACGAGAUUAACAAAUGCAUCUGGGUGACUGUUUAAGGAUGACAAUUUGCCAGAGCACUGAGGGUAUAGAAAAAAAAUCAGUGGAGAAUAUAUGAUGAUAAGAAUAAAUAGAAUUCUUCAAGAAAAAUUUCUAAUAGAUAUCUUAACUAAGAUAAAUUAAUCUUAGCUUGUUUAAUCGGACAGGUGCUGUAGAAAAUGACAGUCCUUUAAAGGAGAUGGCCAAGUCAGAAAAGUGUCUUCUAUUAAUGUAUUAGUAGUAUCCACUAUCAAAGCAGACUAAGCUAAGACAGCCAUCUGUUGAUAUCAUAGUGUUUUGGUAGGCUGUUCUGCUUACAACCUAAAAAAUAAAAAUCAAUAAAGAC
This is a long non-coding RNA of Gallus gallus (chicken), 2769 nucleotides long. RefSeq lists it as uncharacterized. The record is from RefSeq and is a predicted model, not a curated record. NCBI's taxonomy places the organism in Eukaryota, Metazoa, Chordata, Aves, Galliformes, Phasianidae. The transcript has 3 exons.